UAAUACCCCGUUUCCCCUAGUUAAGUUUAGAAUUUGUUUUAAACUUAGAUUUAAGAUGAUUCACGCCGGAUUGAGAAAAUGAAUUUAUUUUAAUUCCAGCAAAGAUGAUUUACAAAAAUAUAUUUGUAAAUUUAGUUAUUAAAUUUAUAUGCAUUGCAUAUUUAUUUAAAUUAGCAUUCAAGUAUUUUUCACGAGAUAUUUAUUUAGCGAAUACUGAGCGGUUGUUACAGUUUUCAUAAUACAACCCGGAAGAUUUUUUUUUAUUAUUUUAUUUUUUUUCAUCCUCCACCUUUCCUCCCACUCUCCCUCCCACUACACCCACUACCCACUACACCUACUCCUACACAACAAUACAUUCGUCCACUCCUCUCUGUCUGCCAUAUCUCAAUUAUAUUAAACCCAAAGAAAUUCAAGUGCAGAGGUAAGUUUUGAGCUUUGUAUUCCCUCAUUUCUUUCCAUUAUUCAUCCCACAAGUAUUGAGAAACCAAUAUGGCAGCUCUCUUCCAUUACUUCGAUCAGAGGGGUACUAGUAGCAAAUCCAGCAACUACACCUUUCAAUUUCAGUAACACAAAUCAAAGGUUUCAUCUAUGAAUUUCCUCCGUUCAUUUACACUUGCUCAUACUUAGAACACUUUAAUUGCAGUACCACAAACAUUUUCAGACUUCAAAUUCAUGAUAAGCAAUACACAAACCUUUUCAUCUACAUAGGUAUACAUAUCGAUUAUGCUUAUAUGAAAUCACUCAGAAUUUAUAUAUGUACAUACGCAUAUUUUGAGUAUAACUAUUUUUUUUACAAGAGAUUGAAUGAGUAUAAAAACCUACUGGAAUAAGAGAGAAGAAAGAUGGAGUCUUGAGUUUUGAUUUUUGCUUGUCUAGCCUGAGUGUUUUGGGNCAUCUGAGUGGGGAGUCGGUCCGGUGAUGAUGGCAGAGAGAGGUGAGGCGUCGGGUCGGGCAGUCUAGUGAGCCGAGAGAGAUACCGAGGGAGGCGGCGGCGCUCGUCGUCGCCAAGGGGGAUUCAAGGGAGCUGGUGGCAGCGGCUUGUCGGCGCUGCUCCUCUGGCGAGCUCCACGGUGGACGGCUGUUACCAGCCGAAGAGAGAGAGAUCAGAGGGAGAUGGGAGAUUGCCGGCAGCUAUUGUCGCCGGAGAAGGGGGCGCGGCUGCGGCUUGGCGGCGGCAGGGGGAGACCGAGGGGGGGCGUGAAUCUGAGAGAGAGAGGGAGACGAGCAGGGGGGGAUGAGUGAAUGAAAAGUGAGUGUUUGUGCGUGUGUUGCGGCUGAUGGGGGGGAUGAAGGCUAGGUGUUGGGCUAGGGUGAGGGUUGGGCUUUGGGGAUGGGUUUGAAUUUUCGAAUUGGGCUUGAAUUGGGCCGAUUUUAAUUGAGUAUUGGGCCGAGUAUUUGGGCCGAUUUUUUUUAUGAGUGAUGGGCUCCAAUUUUUAAAUAGAUUUGGGCUGCGAUUUUUAAAAGCUUGGGCCGAUUUUUAAUUUUAUUUAGUGGGCCGAGUUUUGUUUAUUAAAUCAGUUGGGCCCUUGGUUUUAAUAUUUGUGAUGGGCCUUAAUUCAAUUAUUUAAAAGAUGGGCCUAUUAUUGUUUUAUUAAAUUGGGCUUUCUUAAUUAAUUGAACUAUUAUUAGUUUGAUUAAUUUAUUUAAAGGAUAAUUUUCAUAAUAAUAUUAAAUUAUUAUUAUGUGCAUAUUUUAAGUAAAUUACUUAAUAAAUGCUAAGCAUGACAUGAAAUUGCAUUUAUUUUGCAAUAAAGUAUUUAAUUGGUUUUAAUUAUAAUUCCAAUUAUUUAAAGAAAAUCGAGUAAGGAUAUUGUUGGUGUCCUUAACUCAAGAAUUUAGUUUUCAAUUAUUUAUUUAUUAAAUUUUGAAAACCCGGCUAAGUGAAUCAUAGAAUGUUAAGCACUACACCAUGACUUAAGAUUAGAUUCAAGGAGACCUAUUAAGAAUAGAAUUUCUUGUAGGCUUUGUGGACCAAGGGGAUUAGCACUGCUUUCCCAAGACAGGUUAUGUGAUUAUGAUCUUCAGGCUUUGCCUAUCCAGGUGGGCUUACUUUCCAAAUGUACAAAGUAUGAUUGAGUUAUUAAGCUCUAAAUGUUUCAAUGAAAUGCAAAGUGUUUAUUUAAUGUAAUGAAAACUGUUUAUCCAAUAAAAUGUUUAUGUGCACUCUGCUCUGUUUAAGGCUCGCCACAACGAAUCAAUUGAGGUUCUCUUAUAGCCUAACACGUUAUUUGAGAAUUGUGUACACCGUUAGCUGACUCGGUGGGUUGAUCUCCAUUCGGGCACUAACUAAGAGGCGUUAUAAGGGUGCUUGCUGGAUGUGUUCCGAAGCAUGUAAUGUAAGGGCCUGCCUGGGUAGCGUCCCGAGGUCAAAAGUAACUUGUCUGGGUUACGCCCUCAGUUCAAGUAAAUGGGAGAAAUGGAUCCGUCGGUGGCUAGAGGUCCGGGAUCACAACGAGUAACAGAAAGGGAGUGUGACAUGUGCGCACAAAUGAAAGAAAAUGUUUUAACAUGCUUAGAAGUUCUUCAAUUUAAAACCUUCUAAGUCAUGUCAAGUAUGAUUGGAUAAACUGUCUUUACGAAAAUAUGAAAUGUUUAUGAAAAUGCAUGCCCACUGAGUACAUUAGUACUUAGCCCAAAAAUACUUUCAAAUGUUUUCAGGUUGGCUGGCCGGUGCUGACGGGACGGAGCUGAGGCUAGAGUUAAAUUCCUAUGAUAGACUUCAGC
Molecule: long non-coding RNA, 2724 nt
Filed under: Salvia miltiorrhiza (redroot sage)
Lineage: Eukaryota; Viridiplantae; Streptophyta; Magnoliopsida; Lamiales; Lamiaceae
Description: long non-coding RNA (SMIL_LNC000504)
Source: RNAcentral